AGACCCGAAACCCGGUGAUCUAGCCAUGGGCAGGUUGAAGGUUGGGUAACACUAACUGGAGGACCGAACCGACUAAUGUUGAAAAAUUAGCGGAUGACCUGUGGCUGGGGGUGAAAGGCCAAUCAAACCGGGAGAUAGCUGGUUCUCCCCGAAAGCUAUUUAGGUAGCGCCUCGUGAAUUCAUCUCCGGGGGUAGAGCACUGUUUCGGCUAGGGGGCCAUCCCGGCUUACCAACCCGAUGCAAACUGCGAAUACCGGAGAAUGUUAUCACGGGAGACACACGGCGGGUGCUAACGUCCGUCGUGAAGAGGGAAACAACCCAGACCGCCAGCUAAGGUCCCAAAGUCAUGGUUAAGUGGGAAACGAUGUGGGAAGGCCCAGACAGCCAGGAUGUUGGCUUAGAAGCAGCCAUCAUUUAAAGAAAGCGUAAUAGCUCACUGGUCGAGUCGGCCUGCGCGGAAGAUGUAACGGGGCUAAACCAUGCACCGAAGCUGCGGCAGCGACGCUGAUGCGUUGUUGGGUAGGGGAGCGUUCUGUAAGCCUGUGAAGGUGGCCUGUGAGGGUUGCUGGAGGUAUCAGAAGUGCGAAUGCUGACAUAAGUAACGAUAAAGCGGGUGAAAAGCCCGCUCGCCGGAAGACCAAGGGUUCCUGUCCAACGUUAAUCGGGGCAGGGUGAGUCGACCCCUAAGGCGAGGCCGAAAGGCGUAGUCGAUGGGAAACGGGUUAAUAUUCCCGUACUUGGUGUUACUGCGAAGGGGGGACGGAGAAGGCUAUGUUGGCCGGGCGACGGUUGUCCCGGUUUAAGCGUGUAGGUGUGUGUUCCAGGUAAAUCCGGUUCACUUUAACACUGAGGCGUGACGACGAGGCACUACGGUGCUGAAGCAACAAAUGCCCUGCUUCCAGGAAAAGCCUCUAAGCAUCAGGUAACAUCAAAUCGUACCCCAAACCGACACAGGUGGUCAGGUAGAGAAUACCAAGGCGCUUGAGAGAACUCGGGUGAAGGAACUAGGCAAAAUGGUGCCGUAACUUCGGGAGAAGGCACGCUGACACGUAGGUGAAGUGAUUUACUCAUGGAGCUGAAGUCAGUCGAAGAUACCAGCUGGCUGCAACUGUUUAUUAAAAACACAGCACUGUGCAAACACGAAAGUGGACGUAUACGGUGUGACGCCUGCCCGGUGCCGGAAGGUUAAUUGAUGGGGUCAGCGCAAGCGAAGCUCCUGAUCGAAGCCCCGGUAAACGGCGGCCGUAACUAUAACGGUCCUAAGGUAGCGAAAUUCCUUGUCGGGUAAGUUCCGACCUGCACGAAUGGCGUAAUGAUGGCCAGGCUGUCUCCACCCGAGACUCAGUGAAAUUGAACUCGCUGUGAAGAUGCAGUGUACCCGCGGCAAGACGGAAAGACCCCGUGAACCUUUACUAUAGCUUGACACUGAACAUUGAGCCUUGAUGUGUAGGAUAGGUGGGAGGCUUUGAAGCGUG
Molecule: ribosomal RNA, 1475 nt
Filed under: Salmonella enterica subsp. enterica serovar Muenchen
Lineage: Bacteria; Pseudomonadati; Pseudomonadota; Gammaproteobacteria; Enterobacterales; Enterobacteriaceae
Description: partial 23S ribosomal RNA
Rfam family: Bacterial large subunit ribosomal RNA
Source: RNAcentral